CGGACGGGUGAGUAACGCGUGAGAAUCUGCCUUCAGGUCUGGGACAACCACUGGAAACGGUGGCUAAUACCGGAUGUGCCCUUCGGGGUGAAAGGUUAACUGCCUGAAGAUGAGCUCGCGUCUGAUUAGCUAGUUGGAAGUGUAAUGGACUCCCAAGGCGACGAUCAGUAGCUGGUCUGAGAGGACGAUCAGCCACACUGGGACUGAGACACGGCCCAG
This 219-nucleotide ribosomal RNA is filed under the name uncultured bacterium. Its description in RNAcentral is "partial 16S ribosomal RNA". It matches the Rfam family "Bacterial small subunit ribosomal RNA", at positions 99 to 334 of the family's 1533-position model. The record is from RNAcentral.